RNAcentral lists this small nuclear RNA (326 nucleotides) under Equus caballus (horse). RNAcentral describes it as "7SK RNA". It matches the Rfam family "7SK RNA". Rfam says of the family: 7SK was discovered as an abundant small nuclear RNA in the mid-70s but a possible function has only recently been suggested. The record is from Rfam by way of RNAcentral. Lineage: Eukaryota; Metazoa; Chordata; Mammalia; Perissodactyla; Equidae.
GGAUAUGAGAGCAGACUGGCUGUGACAUCUGUCAUCACAUUAAUUGUUAGGGACCAUUGGCUAUUGGCUGGAUGGCUGGCUCACUUCGUAUCCCCUUCUUCCCCUAUCAUGCCAUGUGUGUUUUUCUGAAGCUGCAGACCCAAUGAAAGAUAAUGACCUUCCCAGAUAGAAGAGGGUCUUUUUCAGUCAUAGUCCAUCUUUCAUUAGAACUUCCAACUUAGCUUUACCUGUGAAAGCAGCUAAGGUAUAUUUAUACAUGUUCAGCUUGUACCCAUUUUAAGAAGAAAAUCAUAUUAGAUAGAAAAGUGAUAGAUGGGUUCUUAAGC